Molecule: transfer RNA, 76 nt
Filed under: Sphingomonas sp. CL5.1
Lineage: Bacteria; Pseudomonadati; Pseudomonadota; Alphaproteobacteria; Sphingomonadales; Sphingomonadaceae
Description: tRNA-Thr
Rfam family: tRNA
About the family: Transfer RNA (tRNA) molecules are approximately 80 nucleotides in length. Their secondary structure includes four short double-helical elements and three loops (D, anti-codon, and T loops).
Source: RNAcentral
GCCGGCUUAGCUCAGUUGGUAGAGCGCGAGUUUUGUAAACUCGAUGUCGCGGGUUCGAUUCCUGCAGCCGGCACCA